UGAGUAAUACUUAUCUACUUGCCAAUUAGUGGGGGAUUAAAUACCGCAUAUUCUAGUUUCGGCUAGGAAAGAGUUCCAUUUGGGCUCGCUAGUUGAGAGGGAUAAGGCGUAUCAGCCGAUGAAAGUGGGGUAAUGGCCUACUGAGGCAAUGACGCGUAGCCGGCCUGAGAGGGUGAUCGGCCACAAGGGAACUGAGACACGGUCCCUACUCCUACGGGAGGCAGAAGGAGGAAACAUCUCGCAAUGGACGCAAGUCUAACGGAGUGAUACUACGUGAAGGAUGAAGGUAACGAAAGUUAUUGUAAACUUCUUUACUAGAGGGUACUGCUUUUAGAGCUUGCCCUUUGGCAAAAAGCCACGACUAACUAUGCUGCCAGCAGUCGCGGUAAUACAUAGGUGGCGAACGUUAUCCGGAAUUACUGGGCGUAAAGGGUGCGUAGGUGGUUGAAUAAGUUACUGGUGGUAAAUCAGGGCUCAACCCUGUGGAAGUCAGUAAUACUAUCCAACUCGAGGGCUGGAGAGGUUAACGGAAUUCUAUGUGUAGCGGUAAAAUGCUCAAAUAUAUAGAGGAACACCAAUUGGCGAAAGCAGUUAACUAUUCAGUUCCUGACAUUGAGACACGAAAGCGUGGGGAGCAAUACGGAUUAGACACCCGAGUAGUCCACGCCCUAAACGAUGAGUACUAGAUAUUGGAAACUCGAUUUUCAGUGUCGCAAGGUAACCCGGUAAGUACUCCGCCUGGGUAGUACGGUCACAAGACUAAAACUCAAAGGAAUUGACAGCGAUUCACACAAGCAGUGGAGCAUGUGGUUCAAUCCGAUACGACACGCAGAACCUUACCAAGAUUAUUAGUAGUGCGAAGCCGGAAGAGACUCUGGCAGAGGUUAUCAUUACUAUGAAGGUGUUGCAUGGCCAUCGUCAGUUCGUGUUGUGAAACGUAUGGUUAAGUCCUAUUAACGAACGAAACCCUCGUGCCUAGUUGCUAACAGGUAAUGCUGAGGACUCUAGGCAGACUGCCAAGGUAACUGGGAGGAAGGAGAGGAUCAAGUU
This 1050-nucleotide ribosomal RNA is filed under the name Candidatus Moeniiplasma glomeromycotorum. Its description in RNAcentral is "bacterial SSU rRNA". It matches the Rfam family "Bacterial small subunit ribosomal RNA", at positions 107 to 1186 of the family's 1533-position model. The record is from RNAcentral. Lineage: Bacteria; Bacillati; Mycoplasmatota; Mollicutes; Mycoplasmatales; Mycoplasmataceae.